This 392-nucleotide ribosomal RNA is filed under the name uncultured bacterium. Its description in RNAcentral is "partial 16S ribosomal RNA". It matches the Rfam family "Bacterial small subunit ribosomal RNA", at positions 523 to 917 of the family's 1533-position model. The record is from RNAcentral.
AUACGGAGGAUGCGAGCGUUAUCCGGAUUUAUUGGGUUUAAAGGGUGCGUAGGCGGUCGGGUAAGCGUAGGGUGAAAGUCCUCUGCUCAACAGAGGAAGUGCCUUCCGAACUGUCCGACUGGAAUGCUCCUGCCGUGGGAGGAAUGUGUGGUGUAGCGGUGAAAUGCAUAGAGAUCACACAGAACACCGAUUGCGAAGGCAUCUCACGAAGGGGCUAUUGACGCUGAGGCACGAAAGCGUGGGGAUCAAACAGGAUUAGAUACCCUGGUAGUCCACGCAGUAAACGAUGAUGACUAACCGUCGGUCAAGACUGAUCGGUGGCCAAGCGAAAGCGAUAAGUCAUCCACCUGGGGAGUACGACCGCGAGGUUGAAACUCAAAGGAAUUGACGGG